Molecule: ribosomal RNA, 440 nt
Filed under: uncultured bacterium
Lineage: Bacteria
Description: partial 16S ribosomal RNA
Rfam family: Bacterial small subunit ribosomal RNA
Source: RNAcentral
CCUACGGGUGGCAGCAGUGAGGAAUAUUGGGCAAUGGGGGCAACCCUGACCCAGCCAUGCCGCGUGAGUGAAGAAGGUCUUCGGAUUGUAAAGCUCUGUCGGACGUGACGAUGAUUGCGGUAGCGUCUAAAGAAGCACCGGCAAACUUCGUUCCAGCAGCCGCGGGAAUACGAAGGGUGCCAGCGUUGUUCGGAAUUACUGGGGGGAAAGGGAGUGUAGGCGGGUAUGUAAGAUAGCGGUGAAAUGCCAGGGCUCAACCCCGGAACUGCCAUUAUGACUAUGUAUCUAGAGUAAAGGAGAGGUUAGCGGAAUACCGAGUGUAGAGGUGAAAUUCGUAGAUAUUGGGUAGAACACCGGUGGCGAAGGCGGCUAUCUGGCCAUUUACUGACGCUGAGGCUCGAAAGCGUGGGGAUCAAACAGGAUUAGAUACCCGAGUAGUC